Molecule: ribosomal RNA, 486 nt
Filed under: uncultured bacterium
Lineage: Bacteria
Description: partial 16S ribosomal RNA
Rfam family: Bacterial small subunit ribosomal RNA
Source: RNAcentral
AUUGAACGCUGGCGGCAUGCCUUACACAUGCAAGUCGAACGGCAGCACGGGUGCUUGCACCUGGUGGCGAGUGGCGAACGGGUGAGUAAUACAUCGGAACAUGUCCUGUAGUGGGGGAUAGCCCGGCGAAAGCCGGAUUAAUACCGCAUACGAUCCACGGAUGAAAGCGGGGGACCUUCGGGCCUCGCGCUAUAGGGUUGGCCGAUGGCUGAUUAGCUAGUUGGUGGGGUAAAGGCCUACCAAGGCGACGAUCAGUAGCUGGUCUGAGAGGACGACCAGCCACACUGGGACUGAGACACGGCCCAGACUCCUACGGGAGGCAGCAGUGGGGAAUUUUGGACAAUGGGCGAAAGCCUGAUCCAGCAAUGCCGCGUGUGUGAAGAAGGACUUCGGGUUGUAAAGCACUUUUGUCCGGAAAGAAAUCCUUGACUCUAAUACAGUCGGGGGGUGACGGUACCGGAAGAAUAAGCACCGGCUAACUACGUG